GCUGGGUGUGGUGGCUCACACCUGUAAUCCCAGCACUCUGGGAAGCUGAGGUGGGUGGACUGCUUGAGCCCAGGAGUUUGAGACCAGCCUGGGUAACAUGGCAAAACCCUGUCUAUACAAAAAAUACAAAGAUUAGCUGGGGUGGUGGUGUGCACCUGUUGUCCCAGCUACACCAGAGGCUGAGGCGGGAAGAUCAAUUGAGCCCAGGAGGUAAAAGCUGCAGUGACUGAGACUGCGUCACUGCACUCCACCCUGGGCAACAAAGCAAGACCCUGUCUCU
This is an unclassified non-coding RNA of Cercocebus atys (sooty mangabey), 280 nucleotides long. It matches the Rfam family "Metazoan signal recognition particle RNA". From Rfam's summary of the family: The signal recognition particle (SRP) is a universally conserved ribonucleoprotein. It is involved in the co-translational targeting of proteins to membranes. NCBI's taxonomy places the organism in Eukaryota, Metazoa, Chordata, Mammalia, Primates, Cercopithecidae. The record is from Ensembl.